RNAcentral lists this long non-coding RNA (497 nucleotides) under Mytilus galloprovincialis (Mediterranean mussel). The record is from RNAcentral. Lineage: Eukaryota; Metazoa; Mollusca; Bivalvia; Mytilida; Mytilidae.
UGUCUAUGUGUCAUACAAUGACAGACCUUUGAAAUGAAUUUUUAAUGAAGCUUAAUAUUAUUCAUCAACAUUCUACAUUCGUUCAAAAUAUUCUGACAUAGUUGUAUGAUUAUGUUGGAUAUUUUAGUCAUGAAUAAUAAAUGUUUCUAUAUCAUUACAUAUGGUUUAGCCAUGUACGACAUCAUGUAUAUUUGAUCGAUGGAAACUCAGCUGAAGCAUGACAGUUAUCUUCCUUGAAAAACACAAAUCAUUUCUAUGUGAGAGAACUUAUGCCUUAAACGGGGUCGAAAGAUAUCAGAGGGACAGUCAAACUCAUAGAUAGAAAAUAAACUGACAACGCAAUGGCUAAAAAAUAAAAAGACAAACAGACGAAUUAAAGUAUACACAACAUAACAUAGAAAACUAAAGACUAAGCAAAACGAACCCAACCAAAACUGGAGGUAAUAUCAGAUGCUCCGAAAUGGUAAGCAGAUCCUGCUCCACAUGUGGCACCCGUC